UAAGGGGAAGAGUCAAAAACAGCUUGUAAGUUUCUCGCUGUUCUGUGUUCCUGUAAACGCGAGGAAUGGAAGACAUCGUUUUCGCGUUCUUUAUAGCGGACGAAGCAGAUGCAAUUGAAAUACACCUAUUUUUACACGAAGACGAGGACAAUCGCUGAAGUACUGGAUACUGCGUCUGUGGAUAGUGGCAAACAACGGAGGCUGGGUUCCCUGUGAUCGGCAUAAAGACGGGCAAUUUACAGAAGCUCUAAGAGAUGGCUUAAUUACUGCCAGCAUGGAUAUGCUAUUCCUUCCGUCUAGUCUGCUGUGCACCCUGUUCCAGCUGGACAUGUCUUCGAGUAACGGUACACAGCAUCUGGAUUUACUGUUCAUAAACUGGCCUAUCAGGACCAUCCAAAAGCCUUUCUGAAGACGAUCAAAGCAGCACGGUCACAGUACUACUCUAAUAUCAGCCAAAAUAAAAAAAUUCUGCAAAUUAUAGGCCCAUAUCACAUCUGCCCUUUCUUUCAAAAGUAAUUGAAAAGUUAGUUCAAUUGUCAGUUACCUUCAGGAUCACCUCAAACUAAACAAUAAUUUUGAAAAAUUUCAGUCAAGUUUCCGUUGUGCACACAACACUGAACCAGCUCUAGAGAGAGUCACAAAUGACCUGCUGAUGACAACUGAUGCUGGUUCACCAUCUCUACUUGUCCCCCAGGAUCUGUCCGCAGCAUUUGAAACCAUUGACCAUGGAAUUAUCCUUCAUUGGCUACAUCACUCUAUUAGACUUGAUAACACCGCGCUUUACAUGAAAAUGGAUAGUCACUCACCAUCAACAACAACCUGACCCAUACUCACCGCCUGUCUGGAGGAGAUUAGCACAUGGAUAAUAUUUAUCACUUUCUCCAGUUGAACAGUUCUAAAACAGAAGGCAUACAAGACCCGACCCAUUGGGUACAGGGCUUUUUGCACUGCAGCCCCCCGGCUCUGGAAUGACCUCCCUUUACAUCUAAAGGUCCCACAAGCCAUUGAAAGUUUUAAGAAGUGUUAUGUUUAGAUUACCUUGUUGUGUUUUAAUCUCUAGCUAACUGUUGUAACCUUGUGGUUAUGCGUUGUAGCACUUUGAGAUUUUCUUGGAAAUGUAUAGUCCUUUACAAAUAAAAUGUAUUAUUAUUA
Molecule: long non-coding RNA, 1152 nt
Organism: Triplophysa dalaica
Lineage: Eukaryota; Metazoa; Chordata; Actinopteri; Cypriniformes; Nemacheilidae
Exons: 3
Source: RefSeq, a predicted model, not a curated record